CUACGGGUCGCUGCAGUAAGGAAUAUUGCGCAAUGGAGGCAACUCUGACGCAGCCAUGCCGCGUGCAGGAAGAAGGCCUUAUGGGUCGUAAACUGCUUUUAUUUAGGAAUAAACCCCCGAACGUGUUCGGGGCUGAAGGUACUAAACGAAUAAGCACCGGCUAACUGCGUGCCAGCAGCCGCGGUAAUACGGAGGGUGCAAGCGUUAUCCGGAUUUAUUGGGUUUAAAGGGUGCGCAGGCGGGCUAUUAAGUCAGUGGUGAAAUCCCGGGGCUCAACUCCGGAACUGCCAUUGAUACUGAUAGUCUUGAGUUUGGUUGAAGUGGGCGGAAUGUAGCAUGUAGCGGUGAAAUGCAUAGAUAUGCUACAGAACACCAAUCGCGAAGGCAGCUCACUAAGCCAAAACUGACGCUCAUGCACGAAAGCGUGGGGAUCAAACAGGAUUAGAUACCCCCGUAGUC
RNAcentral lists this ribosomal RNA (459 nucleotides) under uncultured bacterium. RNAcentral's name for it is "partial 16S ribosomal RNA". It matches the Rfam family "Bacterial small subunit ribosomal RNA", at positions 339 to 795 of the family's 1533-position model. The record is from RNAcentral.